UACGUAGGGUGCAAGCGUUAAUCGGAAUUACUGGGCGUAAAGCGUGCGCAGGCGGUUUUGUAAGUCUGUCGUGAAAUCCCCCGGGCUCAACCUGGGAAUUGCGAUGGAGACUGCAAGGCUAGAAUCUGGCAGAGGGGGGUAGAAUUCCACGUGUGAGCAGUGAAAUGCGUAGAGAUGUGGAGGAACACCGAUGGCGAAGGCAGCCCCCUGGGUCAAGAUUGACGCUCAUGCACGAAAGCGUGGGAGCAACA
This 251-nucleotide ribosomal RNA is filed under the name uncultured bacterium. RNAcentral's name for it is "partial 16S ribosomal RNA". It matches the Rfam family "Bacterial small subunit ribosomal RNA", at positions 524 to 773 of the family's 1533-position model. The record is from RNAcentral.